Molecule: non-coding RNA, 4232 nt
Organism: Aegilops tauschii subsp. strangulata
Lineage: Eukaryota; Viridiplantae; Streptophyta; Magnoliopsida; Poales; Poaceae
Source: RefSeq, a predicted model, not a curated record
UGAGAAAAAAAUCAGAGCUCCUCUCUCUCGCUCGCUUCCCGAUCCCAGCCGCCAGGAGACACCCCACACCGCGCGGCGCUCGAUCCGGUGCCGCGCCGAUCUGUCGGCGGGUGCGGCGUUUUGCUCCGGUUGCGACGUCGUCUUACUGAUCCAGAGAAAAAGAGACAGGGCGUGAGGGAGAGUGAGGGAGAAAGGAAAUAGAGGAAGAAAGGAGAAGGAAGAAGGGGCACAAGGUGAGGGAGGCGGUCGCCGGCGGUGGCGGCUCCGAUGACCGUCCGGCGGGCAGGCGGAUGAGCUCUUGUUGACGCGGCGGCCUCCGGAUCCAUCGAGCACGCCUCCCGGCGACAGGCGCGAUGGGGCGCCGGUGGACGCCCUGAUUGUGCGCAACCCCGACGCGGUGACUCACCUCCCGUCUCCACUCCCCCGAGGCGCUACUCGCCGACAACCGCCUCCCGGCCCAACGCCGCCGCGACAUCGAUGACUGCCCGCGCGUCUCCUUCACCUACAAGCUUCGACAACGGCAGAUUAGCAGCCCCUGCGGCCGCGAUGACCCUGGAUCUACGGCAACGGCGGCGCCAGCAGCCCGGCCCGGUGCAGGUCGCAGCUAACCCUAGCUGCGCUGGGAGCUCUCCAUCCGCUCGCCUUCCCCUCCGUCUCCGGUGGACAGACGCCUCUUCUUUUGCUCCGCCCUAGCUAUGGUAUAAGCUCCUCAAAACUCUGCCUUCUCUCAUGCGCUCGUAUGCCCACGGCCAUCGACCCGUGGCCAAUCAAUCUUACGCUGGCCAUCGCGCCAUGGCAAGUUCUAGGCAUUUUGGCUUGUGCGGGUGCCCUGUCAUCCAAAGAUUUGUGCUUGUUGUGUCAUGUACGUAUAAUACAGUAGUAAUAAGUGUCACCGUUUAGUGGAUUUAGCCCUCAAUCUCAACAUCAUCGUUUGAUUCACAUGGUUCUUAUACAUGUGCGCAACUUCUGUGCAAGUCAUCCAAGAUGUAUCUUUGCUUCUCUUAAUUUUGUCAGUUACUUUGAUCUCGAUGAGCUGACUGACUGCUCUGUCGGAUGGGUUUAGAUCACUUGUCCGUUUCCAGCAGGACUCACUCUGCUUCUGUGGUAAUCAAAACAUCCAUAUAUAAGUGAUUAUUCACCUAACCCAAUGUUGCUGAUGGCAAUUUUGAUUUGAAGUUAGCAAUGCAAUCAACAGCCAGUUAUUUAUAUUCAGAAAACAAGAAAUGUCAAGCUUGCAAGCAAAGCAAAGUGCCAUUAGCUCUUCACAGUCAUGAUUGCCCAAUUCUGACCUCUGUCAUUUCAAAUAACUGCAUCUGUGGUCCUGACAUAUCAAGUAGACUGGGAUAAAUCUGUGCCCCACCGAUCUUGUUGGGUACCCUCCUAUUAUGAAGAAGCCUAGAAUUUCUAACACAAUUGCACCUCUGUGAUCCGGAGAUGCUGGCAUGUCAAGAUUUUGCUGGGACCACAUUGCGUUCUCUUCUGCCGGCAGAUUAAAUGAUGAAGGCGCUGACGCCUUUCCCCAAUGUCUCGACAAAGUCCGGAAAAAUGGUGGGACACCAUCUAAUGAGGAGCGGCAUGUUAUACCAGGUUUAGAAGCAUCAGGUUCAGAAGGCAGGGGCGCAGAUAACAUCAAUUGACAAGCGUGUUAAAUCAUGGUCUUAUCAACAUGAUGGGUGUCGAGCUCGCGGUGUUGCCAUGCCGGGCGGAGUGGAGGCUGCCGCUUGCAUAGCUGCUUCAUCCGAAGGAUCGCCAUGAGGAUGAUGCCAUCGUCUGGCUGGGCGAGGCGAGGCUGCGAAGGCGGAGGUUGCCGCUCCUGCAGCUGCUUGGCCCUCUCUUCCUUGGCAUCGAGUUCUUCUUCGACCUUGGCCGCACGCCGAGAGAGGAAAGAAGGACACGAUGGAUGUCAACAUGAAGAGGGCAGAGGACGUGCUGAUGCACAAGCGGCUCCUGGAGCUGGCCAAGGAUUCGGUGCAGUGCCAGGCUUUCGCCGUGGGGGCCGUGCAAGUGAGUUGUUUGUCCCUCCUCGCGACACUCGCAAUAAUUUACGAAUGCAAUUCGGCGCUACACUGAUGGAGUCAAAAUUCGGCUGUCUGCAAUUUUAUUAUCUGGUCUGAAUCUGUGAUGAUCGUCCCUGGUUGGCCUCGUUGGGUUGGGGGUUAAGUUUUCUGCAGUUGGGAUUUCCUUUUUAUAAUCGUCUCCAUCCCAUCAGGCAUCAACACUGAAUCUUAGUCAAUGACACUCUUUCUCGGUGGUAACAUGUCUUUCCAUCAUCCAGAAAAAUGGGGGCAUUAUAGUUCUAUUAAACUGGAUUGGUAUUACGUGUAGGAAUUGGUUCAUUUGGACUUAGUAUUACCACUUGCAUAUUUUACGUAGCCAUCUAAUUUUGUGAGUUUUGCUGGUCCGGUAAAGACAAAAUAUCGGUAUAUUUUGGUCCCUAUAGAUACUUUGCUAUUUGAGGACUAAGCAUUGAACCUGUUUUAGUUUCCAGUCCAUGACAUGUAGAUUAGUUAUUUGUUGAGUUACUAGAAACUGUUUAGUCUUUCGGUUUAUUCUCAGUUAUGUUGUCAUGGCUGCGAACGUGAAUUAACAGAGCAAACCUUAAUGAUCAGAUCAAGAGCCACUUCAUUCAUGAGGCUGCUGAGCAAAGGUACUACUGUGUGUCUAUGUACUUGUGGCGCAGUUGCUAAAAAAAUUGCAAGGAUACUAAACACUGCUCCUGAUCUACGAAAGACAACUAGCUUUUCUGCCUAAUCCAUCAGACUAAAGGUUUUACUUCUGUAAAAGUCUGCGCGUUAGUAGUACUUCUACUUCUGUAGUACUCUACAUAGUUAUUUCAUACAAAACCGUCAUAACUUAAUUAAUUGUGACCUAUUGAUAAAGGGGGUGCAACCGGUGAGCAGAUUAUAUAGGUACACGAGCAGAUAAUCUGAAAAAAUAUUUUAAGCUACUAUUUCCUACAUAUUGGAAAUUUGGAAUAUGUCUCCAUCCAUACACCAAAAAAGAAGUUUCCAUGAUACGGUAGCUUUAUCUAUUUUUCCUCCUAUUUAUUCUUUCAGUUUGAAUUGGUGUUCAUUCACCAUCAUUUUUUUAUGCAAAAUCUUUGGUGUGAGCCUAUCAACCGAUAGUACGGCAGCAUUAUCGUAUGUGGAAUGAUAAUGCACCAUAAAGUUCAUUGGAUGCAGACCGGUAGGGUCAAUUACAAACUCUUUGAUGUAAAUGACUUUCAGUUUCUAGCUUUCAUAAAAUUUAGAUAUGUACUGUUUAACAGUGUGUUGUGGUUGAUGGUGGUCCUAAGAACUGAUUGAAUUAUCAUGUUGGAUAGUAUUGCUUUUACUAGCAGUUGCAGUGCUCUUAUUAUUAUAUUUCCACAAAUACCAUCACGUUUUGCUAUUGACGUAAUGUUAUGUUCCUUGACUGAAAUCAAACCCUUUAGUUGCUGUUAUGGUGCUCUUGUUAUUGUUAUAUUCCUUGACAGAAAGCAAACGUUGUUCAUGGCUAACUUAUAGAAUAGCAUAUACAAAGUUCAAAACCAUCAAUUUCAGGAACACUCUGGCCAUGUAUUUGAUUCUGUUGAAGACCCAAUAUAUGAUGAGGUGCUGCAUCUCCUGAUGUUGAGCUAUAUGGACUAUAUGAGCAGAACCACCAUGACAAACAUGCGGGUCAAUAGAAUUCAGAAAGUUAUAGUUUAUUUGCUCUAUACAAUAAUGGCUUCAGUUUCAAUGGAAAUCAUUAACUGGACUCCCAUGUAUUAUUCUGCAAAAAGUAGUAUUGUAGCCUUUUAAUGUUUUCAUUCACAUGCAUGGUCAUAUAUGCUGCUUGGACGAAACAAUUUAUCAACUCCAACUGCAGCUGGUAGGCAUCGUGAUGGACAGGGCGAUCACAGCGGACGGGGCACCAAUGGCGGCUGCUUGCCCCCACCCCAUUGGGAGCCCUCCAUGACGGCGCACGGGAGGAAGCGAUAGGCCCAUGUCGACGAAGGAGGUAGGCAUGAUGUGGGCGACGGUGGCGCAGAGCACUUCAACAAGGGAGACCUGAAAAUGAGGAACGAUAAGGAAGAUUUUUUUAGAGAUCUCGCCUGCUUUAUUGAUUCUCAACAAUGUUCACUGGCACAAGGUUAAUCAUGGGGCAUGCCUAGCCAAAUAUGUCUCCCUACACCUAGAUUACAACCAAAUUUGGCGAGAUUGUGAGCUGAAGAACGAUAAGGAAGAUGAGUUCGUGCGUCAUUCUGUCUA